Molecule: non-coding RNA, 154 nt
Filed under: Beijerinckiaceae bacterium
Lineage: Bacteria; Pseudomonadati; Pseudomonadota; Alphaproteobacteria; Hyphomicrobiales; Beijerinckiaceae
Description: 6S RNA
Rfam family: 6S / SsrS RNA
About the family: E. coli 6S RNA was the first non coding RNA to be sequenced, but its function was unknown until recently. It consists of 184 nucleotides that fold into an extended hairpin structure with a large single-stranded internal bulge.
Source: RNAcentral
GCGGCGCUGCGGGGUGCGUGUUGGAUCUGUAUUCCCGGGGCCUUAUCGAUCUCAAAGGGAGCUGUCCCUGACCUUGUCCGUGGACUCGGUCACAUGGCGCCCACCUACGCUGUAGGUUCCCGGGAUCGAUGUCCCACGGCCAUCGUGGCCCGCA